UAAGAAUAUUCCGCAAUGGACGAAAGUCUGACGGAGCGACGCCGCGUGGAUGAUGAAGGCCGAAAGGUUGUAAAGUCCUUUUGUCGACGAAGAAUAAGUGUGGGAGGGAAUGCCCGCAUGAUGACGUUAGUCGGCGAAUAAGCCCCGGCUAAUUACGUGCCAGCAGCCGCGGUAACACGUAAGGGGCAAGCGUUGUUCGGAAUUAUUGGGCGUAAAGGGUACGUAGGCGGUUUUGUAAGCCCGGCGUGAAAUACUGGAGCUCAACUCCAGAACUGCGUUGGGAACUGUGAGACUUGAGUCAUGGAAGGGGAGUUGGAAUUCCAGGUGUAGGGGUGAAAUCUGUAGAUAUCUGGAAGAACACCGGUGGCGAAGGCGAACUCCUGGCCAAUGACUGACGCUGAGGUACGAAAGUGCGGGGAGCAAAC
Molecule: ribosomal RNA, 425 nt
Filed under: uncultured bacterium
Lineage: Bacteria
Description: bacterial SSU rRNA
Rfam family: Bacterial small subunit ribosomal RNA
Source: RNAcentral